UGUCUCUGCCGCUGAGAUGUUUCCUAGCUGUGCACAGAAUUCACUCUCCUACUGGAGGGCUCUGACUGAAAGCUCUGAUGCGGCAGGCCUUCUCUUGACACUUGGUUAAGGUAUGCCUCUCACAUCUGUAUGCCCACAUCUGCUCUCCUCCCUCCCUCCUUCUCAGCACUUAGCCCUCUGAUAUGGUUUGCUGGCGUCCCCACCCAAAUCUCAUCUUGAAUUGUAGUUCCCAUAAAUCCCCACGUAUUGUUCGAGGUACCCCGUGGGAGAUAAUUGAAUCAUGGGGGUGGUUACCCAGAUGCUGCGGUUCUCGUGUUAGUGAGUUCUCGUGAGAUCUGAUGGUUUUAUAAGGGGCUUUUCCCCCUUUUUCUCGGCACUUCUCCUCGCUGCCGCCACAUGAAGAAGGAUGUGUUUGCUUCCCCUUCUGCCAUGAUUGGAAGUUUCCUGAGACCCCUCCAGCCAUGCUGAACUGUGAGUCAAUCAAACGUCUUUCCUCCAUAAAUUACCCAGUCUCGGGUAUGUCUUUAUUAGCAGUGUGAGAAUGGACUCACACAUUCUCCUAAUGUAGUAUACAUGUGUUUGCUCAUUUGUCACCAUCUCUCCAUCUCUAGUCUCUAGAAUAUGAGAUCUGUAAGAACAGGGACACCUAGAAUACGAGAUCUGUAAGAAUAGGGACAUUGUCUGUAUCAGGUGUUCAUGGCUCAAUCCCAGCACCUGGAACAGCAUGAGGCACCUGGCAGGUGCCUGACAAACAUUUGCAGGGAAUAUGUGUGCAUGAACCUGCAUGGGCAGGAACAGGUGCAUAGGAACAUGGAUUGUGGACGUGCAUGUAUGUGCGUGCAUAUGUAUACCACUAUGUAUACGUAGCUUAUUGUGUCUUUGCAGUGAGGUUUUCAAACCUCUGUCUUGUUUCCAGGAUUUCCUGAAGACACCAUCCCAGUCAAGUGGUCUGCCUCAUACUGAGCCACCAGACCACCCAGCAUGUCCUCACCCGCGUGGACAGAUGACAGGGGGCUCUGAGCAUGCCCCAGUGCACCUUACGCACCUGUGAAGGUUGGGAGCCUGAGUGCAGCUCCUGUGGCACUGCCCGUGGCCAGGGAGAUGCCUCCUCAGUGCUCCUGACCCUCGGUGGAGGACCGGCCAGCGUGUGUGCCGACAGUGUGUCCACACAGGUGUGCUGCGCCCAAUGGGCAAGUCGGAAACAAAGGAAAAUGCUCUCUGAAGGAAAAGGCAAAGCAAUUUGGAUUUCUGCGAGAAAAUGAGACUGCAUGUGGCACUGUAAAUACCCUUGCUGCUGAACUUCUCGCUCCCCCCAGAUACACCCUUCAUAUUGACAUGUCUAGAACCUUAAACUGAACCAAGUUGAAAAGUGAGAUUAAUUAGGGCUGAGUUAACAGUUAACACAUACAAUGAAAUAUUGAAUAAGGCUUACUGAGCAAACAAGAAUAUACAGAAGUGGAGGAGACAAAGAGGAUAUUAAAAAUGCAGACAGUGAUGAGGCAGAUAGCUGGGACAAAUAAUGAAAAAUAGUAAAGGAGAUAAGGCAGAUAUUGGAGGAGCAAAGAGUCUCUGAAAUAGAUAUCGGUAUUGAAAGAUGCUAAACACGCUUCUAAAGAGACUUUCUAGCCGACACAGGGAGCUCACUGAUGGAUGAAGUAGAAACAUUUUUAAAUGGAAUCAAACAGGGCAAAGCGGGAGAAGAAAAAGAAGUAGGUAAACCAGUAAAUUAACUUUUCUCGUGUGUGCUGUGUACUAUUUGUGAGUGAGCAAUGAACGCUGUGGCUCCCUGGAGGGGCUGUGGUGGGAAGUUUCACUGCGAUCAAGUAGAGGUGGUGCCUUUGGACCUCUUCUCCUGAACCUGCAGGGAGAGGCGCAGAAUAUUCACAAGGUGAAGAUGCAACAAUUCAAAUGAGUGUCCAGGUUUUCAGGGUGGUUGCUAAACCCCAAAAGACCGAUAGCUUCGGGCAAAAGACUGCAGAAAGAACAGCUUUACAUUUUUACGGAAGCAAUGGGAAAUAUACCCUGUAAGCCUUGAAAAAUUCCCGAAGGGAUUAGGUUCCUCAUGGUAGCUGUGCAGGAAGGGUGCAGAGUGGCCUGAGGGGCUAUUGGGAAAGUCCACCUUGGGUUGAGGGAUCUGGGAGGGCUCCCUGGAGGAGGUGGUGUUGGACUACAGCGAUGGGAACAUAAAGGAGCUGGAGAGAGAUUUGGGUGCCAGUCAGCACAAGAAAGGCCCACACAGAGAAAGUCAGGCUGGGGCGAGAGUGAGCCCCCCAAGCUGAGAGCUCAGCCUGAGAGCAUGGGAAGCCAUCCAGGAGCUGAGAAGCCAGGCUGGGUCUGACCCCACUGAUUCAGAUCCCUCUGUGGCCUUGGGAAAGGCCAGAGACAGGGCCGCAGGUGGGGGCUUUGGUGAAGGGAGCGAGAGUGUGAGCCAGUGCCACGUAGAGAGGACAGACGCAGGGAUGCCAGCCAGGGUGCCGUCGGCCAAGAAAGGAAGGUCCAGCAGGCACAGUGUCAGAGGAGGGUCCCAGAGGAAGGCACUGGGAACAGUCCUGGCUUCUUACCUCGGCCACUAGGCAGAUGGUGAUGCUCUGAGGGUGCUGAGGCCACAGGGUGGGAGGGAGGAGGAGGAGCCUCCCUCUGCAAGCUCUGUUACAGGGGGUAUGCAUCAGUGGCUCCCCACCGCCCUCUGGAGGAAGCCCGGAGCACAGAGCACUUGAGGCUCCUGGGUGUCCCUGGUCCGUGCUCCACUAAGUAGCUCCCCUGUUCCCCACCUAAUCUCCAUGGCUGGGCGUUCUGAAUCCACGCUUCCAGCUCCCAGACGGUUCACAGGCUCCCGGCCCAGGCCAUGUGUGCGUGCUGUCUCCCUGUGGGAGCAGGCUCCUGUCCUAGCCCCACACACCUGCUCAUAGCUCUGCCCUCAGGUCAAAGGCCCCUUCCAGGGUCAGGGUCCCAACGGGGAACCCCAAUUCUGGGCUCUGCAAAUGCCUCCCAGCGUUACCCCUCAAAAUGUCACUGUCUGAGGGUCUUGACCUCUGGCUUGUGAGCUCACAGAGGGCAGCGCCCUUGCACUCACCUUCCUGUUGACCUGCAGGGCCAAGCAUUGUGCCGGACAUAGGGGUGAACAGGCACAUGCUUCCCACCUGUCAGGGAGAUUCUUGCUCUCCUGGCUCUGCCCCACCCCUGGGGGCUCUGCCAGCUCCUCGGAACCCUGAGUCCAGGGCAGGGCACGGUCUCAGGUCUUAGCCUGAUGACGUAGUACAGGCUCUAGGCCCCAGGAGGGACAUGGCACUUCCUGCAUCGACUCUGUCACUGGUCUCCCCAGGGCUUCCCUCCCCAAGCCUCAGGGGCUGUGGGGUACCCCAUCCUCUCCACAGAACACGUGCACAGGCCUCCAGGAGAUGGUUAAUAGAACGGAGAGGUUUUAGGGAAGUUUAUUUCUAUAGCUCUUACAUUUAUUUAUAUUUGUCAAAUAUGUUCCCAUCACUAAAAUCUCUUUGGAGCAUUUUCAAAAAUUAAAGAAUUGCGUCUAAAAAUACUGACCUUGAUGUUCAGUGUGCAUGGGUAACUCUCCAGGCCCAGCAACAUCAAGAGGCAGAUGUGACAGCAGCCGUGGCUGCUCAGGGGGCCGGGAAUGCGGGAAAGGGGUGGCUGUCAAACAGUCUUGACAAGCGGCUGAAUGUGACUGUGUCGGAUUUGGAAAGUGCAGCCUGAGAAUUUGAAAUCCAUUCACUCCCCACCCCCAAGCGUUUUUUCAUGUAUUCGUUCAUUCAGCACACCUUGAAUGAACACUCUUUUAUUUGCUACCUAUUCAGGGACACUACACAGGCCCGUGACCAUCACACGCCCAGCCUGGCCCCGUGCUGUGCCUGAGCAGAGGACUGUUGGCAGAUGGUUCACUUCCACCCUCCAUGAUAAAUGCUGAGAAAAGAAAGAUCAAGGGCUUCAGAGCCCACUGGAGGGAAUUCAUACAGCCGGGGGCCCAGGAAGCUGCUAAGGAAACUGCCUGGACGGCAGGGUGGCCGUGACCACGGGGACGGGGAGAAGGACCCAGAGGAGCUGAGGAAUCCUUGCUGUGGAAGGCACCAUAUGAGCUGCGUGAAGUCAGAGUCAAAAGCAAACCCGUCUCUUCUUGACAGUGGGACCCAGGAGGCAGGACAACCUGCCAGAGAGGCUGAAGGAGGUUCCCUCAGGCUGGAUCCUCGACAAGAAAAAGGAAGAGGGUCUGCCUGAUUCCCUCGCCAACAACAGCUGGUCUUCCAGAAGUCAGCAAUCUCUUGUCCCUUGUCUUCAAAAGCCCAUGGAGCUGGAGGCAGGCAGCUGAGGUCAGGAAGAGAAGGUGCGACCCAGUCCAGGAAGGCUGAGUCCUCGUGAACCCUCAGGGCUGGGGUGAGGGGCCAGUGCCCGGCCCAGACACCAGCACAGCCCUGCAGUGGGAGUUGAUCUCAGCAGAUGGACGGGCACCGCCCAGAGGAUGGACUGGUCAGCACCGCCCGGAGGAUGGACCGCUCAGCACCGCAGUGGCCGCUUGGCCUAAUUUGCCACCUGAAGAGCCGCCAGGUCUCCAGUGACUCUAGCACCAUGGACAGGAGAGGAGCAGGGUGACCUGAGGGUACAGAGAAGGUUCUGCUGUAAUCAAGUUCCCCUGCCUGGUCAGAGGGCUCAGAGGUUUGAGAGGGGAGGGAUUUCCUUUUAAAGCUGCAGGAUCCCUGUGGGUCCAGAAAGAAACACAGCCAUGGCGGGCAUCCCAUGGAGGGUAGUGACCAGGAGCAGGACAAAGGUGGAAGGUGGGUGGAGCCCCCACAUGGGCCUCAGGUCACAUUGGACAUUUCCUCAGCAAGUGUCACCUGGGUGGUGACGAAUGGGGGAGGAGAACAGAUGGAAUGCGGAGAGUAGCAGUGUGAAGCUGCACCGCCUGGUCACCACUCGAGAUACACAGGGUUUGCUCUGCCUGAGGAGCACACGCUGGCUGCAGACACGGGGCAACCACGUGAGAAAGGUCAGACCCAGGCCCACUCGCCUUCCAUAUGCAUCUUAGGGACGGGGAUGCCUGCGCCAGCAGCAGCCUUGCUGCCCCUGCGUCCCCCAGUGCACCUGCCAGGGCAAAGCCAACAGGCAGUGCCAAGGACCUGAGGGAGGAGGUGGGCUUGACUUCGAGGCAGGGCACAGACACCAGACCACGUGGAGGAGCAGCUGAAACAGGGCCGGUGGCAGCAGCCGCCUGUGAGACGUGCCAGCCGGUGAGCCUUGUUAGUUUACCAUUGCCACGGCAAGACCCAGAAGUUACUGCCACUUCCCACGGUAAAAUCCCAAUGACCCUGAGGUUUCUGCUCCUUUUCUAGAAAUUUCUGCAUAAACCAACCCCUAAUUAGCAUGUAGUUAAAAGUGGGUGUAAUUAUGAUGCGGAGCUGCCUCUGAGCUGCUCUUCUGUGCACUCUGCUGUCCUGGGGCAGCCCCUCUGCUGCCGCU
Molecule: long non-coding RNA, 5466 nt
Filed under: Homo sapiens (human)
Lineage: Eukaryota; Metazoa; Chordata; Mammalia; Primates; Hominidae
Description: HSALNT0279173
Source: RNAcentral